GGCUGGAUAGUUCAGUUGGUGUAGAGCACUGGUGUACGGUGUUCCAGAGGUCGCAGGUUCAAAUCCUGCUCCAGUCA
Molecule: non-coding RNA, 77 nt
Organism: Acanthaster planci (crown-of-thorns starfish)
Lineage: Eukaryota; Metazoa; Echinodermata; Asteroidea; Valvatida; Acanthasteridae
Source: the annotation of a RefSeq genome assembly